This 239-nucleotide ribosomal RNA is filed under the name uncultured bacterium. RNAcentral describes it as "partial 16S ribosomal RNA". It matches the Rfam family "Bacterial small subunit ribosomal RNA", at positions 524 to 762 of the family's 1533-position model. The record is from RNAcentral.
GACGAAGGGGCGUAGCGUUGUUCGGAAUUACUGGGCGUAAAGCGAGUGUAGGUGGUUGUCAUAGUCAGGUGUGAAAGCCCAGAGCUCAACUCUGGAAUUGCCUUCAAAACUCUCAAGCUAGAGUUCGGAAGAGGAGAGUGGAAUUCCCAGUGUAGAGGUGAAAUUCGUAGAUAUUGGGAAGAACACCAGUGGCGAAGGCGACCACCUGGACUGAUACUGACACUGAGGUGCGAAAGCGU